GGGUUGUGAGGUUAAGCGACUAAGCGUACACGGUGGAUGCCCUGGCAGUCAGAGGCGAUGAAGGGCGUGCUAAUCUGCGAUAAGCGCCGGUAAGGUGAUAUGAACCGUUAUAACCGGCGAUACCCGAAUGGGGAAACCCAGUGUGAUUCGUCACACUAUCAUUAACUGAAUCCAUAGGUUAAUGAGGCGAACCGGGGGAACUGAAACAUCUAAGUACCCCGAGGAAAAGAAAUCAACCGAGAUUCCCCCAGUAGCGGCGAGCGAACGGGGAGGAGCCCAGAGCCUGAAUCAGCAUGUGUGUUAGUGGAAGCGUCUGGAAAGGCGCGCGAUACAGGGUGACAGCCCCGUACACAAAAGCGCAUGUGCUGUGAGCUCGAUGAGUAGGGCGGGACACGUGGUAUCCUGUCUGAAUAUGGGGGGACCAUCCUCCAAGGCUAAAUACUCCUGACUGACCGAUAGUGAACCAGUACCGUGAGGGAAAGGCGAAAAGAACCCCGGCGAGGGGAGUGAAAAAGAACCUGAAACCGUGUACGUACAAGCAGUGGGAGCACAGGUUUACCUGUGUGACUGCGUACCUUUUGUAUAAUGGGUCAGCGACUUAUAUUCUGUAGCAAGGUUAACCGUAUAGGGGAGCCGUAGGGAAACCGAGUCUUAACCGGGCGUUAAGUUGCAGGGUAUAGACCCGAAACCCGGUGAUCUAGCCAUGGGCAGGUUGAAGGUUGGGUAACACUAACUGGAGGACCGAACCGACUAAUGUUGAAAAAUUAGCGGAUGACCUGUGGCUGGGGGUGAAAGGCCAAUCAAACCGGGAGAUAGCUGGUUCUCCCCGAAAGCUAUUUAGGUAGCGCCUCGUGAAUUCAUCUCCGGGGGUAGAGCACUGUUUCGGCUAGGGGGCCAUCCCGGCUUACCAACCCGAUGCAAACUGCGAAUACCGGAGAAUGUUAUCACGGGAGACACACGGCGGGUGCUAACGUCCGUCGUGAAGAGGGAAACAACCCAGACCGCCAGCUAAGGUCCCAAAGUCAUGGUUAAGUGGGAAACGAUGUGGGAAGGCCCAGACAGCCAGGAUGUUGGCUUAGAAGCAGCCAUCAUUUAAAGAAAGCGUAAUAGCUCACUGGUCGAGUCGGCCUGCGCGGAAGAUGUAACGGGGCUAAACCAUGCACCGAAGCUGCGGCAGCGACACUGUGUGUUGUUGGGUAGGGGAGCGUUCUGUAAGCCUGUGAAGGUGGCCUGUGAGGGUUGCUGGAGGUAUCAGAAGUGCGAAUGCUGACAUAAGUAACGAUAAAGCGGGUGAAAAGCCCGCUCGCCGGAAGACCAAGGGUUCCUGUCCAACGUUAAUCGGGGCAGGGUGAGUCGACCCCUAAGGCGAGGCCGAAAGGCGUAGUCGAUGGGAAACGGGUUAAUAUUCCCGUACUUGGUGUUACUGCGAAGGGGGGACGGAGAAGGCUAUGUUGGCCGGGCGACGGUUGUCCCGGUUUAAGCGUGUAGGUGUGUGUUCCAGGUAAAUCCGGUUCACUUUAACACUGAGGCGUGACGACGAGGCACUACGGUGCUGAAGCAACAAAUGCCCUGCUUCCAGGAAAAGCCUCUAAGCAUCAGGUAACAUCAAAUCGUACCCCAAACCGACACAGGUGGUCAGGUAGAGAAUACCAAGGCGCUUGAGAGAACUCGGGUGAAGGAACUAGGCAAAAUGGUGCCGUAACUUCGGGAGAAGGCACGCUGACACGUAGGUGAAGUGAUUUACUCAUGGAGCUGAAGUCAGUCGAAGAUACCAGCUGGCUGCAACUGUUUAUUAAAAACACAGCACUGUGCAAACACGAAAGUGGACGUAUACGGUGUGACGCCUGCCCGGUGCCGGAAGGUUAAUUGAUGGGGUCAGCGCAAGCGAAGCUCCUGAUCGAAGCCCCGGUAAACGGCGGCCGUAACUAUAACGGUCCUAAGGUAGCGAAAUUCCUUGUCGGGUAAGUUCCGACCUGCACGAAUGGCGUAAUGAUGGCCAGGCUGUCUCCACCCGAGACUCAGUGAAAUUGAACUCGCUGUGAAGAUGCAGUGUACCCGCGGCAAGACGGAAAGACCCCGUGAACCUUUACUAUAGCUUGACACUGAACAUUGAGCCUUGAUGUGUAGGAUAGGUGGGAGGCUUUGAAGUGUGGACGCCAGUCUGCAUGGAGCCGACCUUGAAAUACCACCCUUUAAUGUUUGAUGUUCUAACGUGGACCCGUAAUCCGGGUUGCGGACAGUGUCUGGUGGGUAGUUUGACUGGGGCGGUCUCCUCCUAAAGAGUAACGGAGGAGCACGAAGGUUGGCUAAUCCUGGUCGGACAUCAGGAGGUUAGUGCAAUGGCAUAAGCCAGCUUGACUGCGAGCGUGACGGCGCGAGCAGGUGCGAAAGCAGGUCAUAGUGAUCCGGUGGUUCUGAAUGGAAGGGCCAUCGCUCAACGGAUAAAAGGUACUCCGGGGAUAACAGGCUGAUACCGCCCAAGAGUUCAUAUCGACGGCGGUGUUUGGCACCUCGAUGUCGGCUCAUCACAUCCUGGGGCUGAAGUAGGUCCCAAGGGUAUGGCUGUUCGCCAUUUAAAGUGGUACGCGAGCUGGGUUUAGAACGUCGUGAGACAGUUCGGUCCCUAUCUGCCGUGGGCGCUGGAGAACUGAGGGGGGCUGCUCCUAGUACGAGAGGACCGGAGUGGACGCAUCACUGGUGUUCGGGUUGUCAUGCCAAUGGCACUGCCCGGUAGCUAAAUGCGGAAGAGAUAAGUGCUGAAAGCAUCUAAGCACGAAACUUGCCCCGAGAUGAGUUCUCCCUGAGACUUAGAGUCUCCUGAAGGAACGUUGAAGACGACGACGUUGAUAGGCCGGGUGUGUAAGCGCAGCGAUGCGUUGAGCUAACCGGUACUAAUGAACCGUGAGGCUUAACCUUACAACGCCGAAG
RNAcentral lists this ribosomal RNA (2928 nucleotides) under Salmonella enterica. Its description in RNAcentral is "23S ribosomal RNA". It matches the Rfam family "Bacterial large subunit ribosomal RNA". Lineage: Bacteria; Pseudomonadati; Pseudomonadota; Gammaproteobacteria; Enterobacterales; Enterobacteriaceae. The record is from RNAcentral.